UGCUCUGGUGGCCUAGUGGUUAAAAUGUCUGCCUUGGAUGUGGGAGGUUGCAGGUUCGAAACCCGGCUUAGUCAU
This is a non-coding RNA of Potamilus streckersoni, 75 nucleotides long. The record is from the annotation of a GenBank genome assembly. NCBI's taxonomy places the organism in Eukaryota, Metazoa, Mollusca, Bivalvia, Unionida, Unionidae.